This 419-nucleotide small RNA is filed under the name Pan troglodytes (chimpanzee). RNAcentral describes it as "retained intron". The record is from RNAcentral. Lineage: Eukaryota; Metazoa; Chordata; Mammalia; Primates; Hominidae.
AUGGAGUAUUUUCAUUGCCCCAGUCAAUUUCAUUCUUUAUAAAAGACUUGUCUUCAGAGAACAGAUUGUGCUGCAGAUUCAUUGAAGUAGCAUGUGGAGGGGGAAGAGCUCUUUAAGUCUGAGUUGAAUCUAGUGAUUCUCAAGAAAACAGACCAGACCCUUGAAGAUUUUCCUGUCUUUCUCUCUUAGGGGACCAGUCAGCCAUCAAUGAACUCAUGCAGAUGAGAUUGAGGUCUGGGGGCACUGAGGGUCUCUUGGCUGAAAAAUUGGAGGCUUUGAUCACUCAGACUCGAGCCAAACAGGCAGCUACCAUGAGUGAAGUGGAGUGGAGAGGGAGAACGAUUCCAGUGAAGAUUGACAAAGUGCGCAUUUUCUUAUUAGGACUGGCUGAUAACGAAGCAGCUAUUGUCCAGGUGAGG